This 1719-nucleotide long non-coding RNA is filed under the name Podarcis lilfordi (Lilford's wall lizard). The record is from RNAcentral. Lineage: Eukaryota; Metazoa; Chordata; Lepidosauria; Squamata; Lacertidae.
AGAUGGCGCCGGCAGUAAGUCUCCUGUGAGCCUCAACAGAGUGAGUAGGAGCUUUUACAGAAUAAUUACAAUAAUACAGAAAGACAUUCAGAAAAAAUCAAAGUUUUAGCCUGAUAAAAGAAUCCGGGAGUUACCAGGAGGUAUUUCUUAAAUCCUCCCCUUUCCUCCCCUAUUCGAGGCUAAUUACAACCUUUGAGCUCCUGUUGAAUAAGGCCCUAGCACACGGCUAGAGAAGAUAACUUAAAUGGUUCUUACAAGACAGAAUUAUAAAGAACUGGGGAUCCCUCUAGCUCAAGCACAAGCUGUUGAACCCCCUGCCCCAAAGAAAAAGCAGGCAAAAAUUCCAUAUUAUUUUAAACCAAAAGCAGAGGAAGUGAAAAGAAAUAAAAACAUAGAGAGCCUGCAUCCGCACGAAUGGUCUGUCGACCGUAUCUCGUUCAGAAGGGGCAUGGAAGCAGAGGGAGGAGGAGGAAAAGGAGUUGACCUGGCAACCGAGUUGGCACAGGCAACUACAGAAAGUACAGCCCUUGAGGCCCGACCAGAACAGGAGCCUCAGCUGGGAGACCCAGAAACCAAGUCAAAAGAAUCCACCCAUCAACCUAUGCUUAGAGGAAAGGGGGGGUCCCCUGCCCCGACAGAGGUGGAGGAGUGGCUAAACGACACAAGAGCUCGACAUCCAGACCUGGGCAGCUAUAAUUACAUAAUGACAGGGCUGUACAAAGAUCUGUUGGAAGAACAUCAAACUCAGCUAAUUAAAGAACUGGGGCCUAUUAAAAACUUUCUUUCAGAAUGUUUGGGUUUGCUCACCUCCCUGAUUGAACUAAUCAGGAGGAAAGAGGAUUGCCACUUUCACAAAGAAGCCAUCAACAAGCCAAAUGGAAAUAAAACCCAGUCCAACACCAAAGAAAGGAAAACAAGCAGAGCCAAACUAGCCCAAGGAAAAGUACUGGCCACUAGGAAACCUUCCUUAAAGGGAAAGAGCCCAAUGCAUAAGAAGAAGCCGAAGAAUGUGAAAAUGGGUCGAAAGGCUAAGCUGCCCUCUCGGACUGGGAAAGUGAAUUUCUCAAAGUUAUUCAAGAUUCUGGAGAACUCAAGCACAAAGAACUCCAACAAAACAACGCCAAAUAAGAGCCAAAGCCCAAACAUUUUAAAUAUACAUCAGGUGGCUAGCCCUCCAAGGCUAGCAAAACAAUCGCUGCCCUCUAGUGGAAAAUUAAAGGAAACUCCAGAUCCAAAGCAAGAAACUCCCCAGAAGGGAGUACAAAAGAGCCAGAACUUAAUUUUAAUUAAACAUAAAUUAGUCCUCCUCCCUCUCUUCAAGCAUGGAGGCCUUUCCACGCUUGCACAACAGAGAAUUUAUUUACUUAAGAAAAUUGACUUAGUCAUCAGAGGCCUUAUACCAGCAGGAAAUAUUGUCAGCGUUAAAUUUCUUCCUUUUGAUAUGGCCCAAAACAGAGUUGUGGUGACCUUUAAGGACUGGUCGGUAACUAAACAAAUCAUGGACAAGAGGGACAGGCUCCAGAGGGCUGGCCUGUUGGUGACCCGCCUUUUUGAAGAGUCCGGCGUUCCACCAUCCCUCUUAGGAACACGUAAGCCGACUAGUCUGCGCACAGAAUUGGAAAUGGCUUCUGAAAACUGCAAACAAGGUCAACCGGAGGCAGUCAAAAUUUCCAAACAGAAGGCUAAGCUCCAAAAACUUUACUCCCUUCCAAUGAACCC